GAUGAACGCUGGCGGCGUGCUUAACACAUGCAAGUCGAACGAGAAAUGUAGACGGAAACCUUCGGGCGGAAGCCUUCAUUUCGAGUGGCGGACGGGUGAGUAACGCGUGGGUAACCUGCCUCAUACAGGGGGAUAACAGUUGGAAACGACUGUUAAUACCGCAUAAGACCACAGCAUCGCAUGAUGCGGGGGUAAAAACUCCGGUGGUAUGAGAUGGACCCGCGUUCGAUUAGCCAGUUGGCGGGGUAACGGCCCACCAAAGCGACGAUCGAUAGCCGAUCUGAGAGGGUGACCGGCCACAUUGGGACUGAGACACGGCCCAAACUCCUACGGGAGGCAGCAGUGGGGAAUAUUGCACAAUGGGGGAAACCCUGAUGCAGCGACGCCGCGUGAGUGAAGAAGUACUUCGGUAUGUAAAGCUCUAUCAGCAGGGAAGAAAAUGACGGUACCUGAGGAAGAAGCCCCGGCUAACUACGUG
Molecule: ribosomal RNA, 478 nt
Filed under: uncultured bacterium
Lineage: Bacteria
Description: partial 16S ribosomal RNA
Rfam family: Bacterial small subunit ribosomal RNA
Source: RNAcentral